AAAAUCAUCAUUUCUACACGAAUAGGCCAAUCAAGCACUGUAGAUUCAAGCAUGAGGAUCACCAGUGCGAAGCUUUUCGGAUGUCAACAGCAAAAGCGAUUCUGUAGCUGAGCCCUCCAGGUCUAACACCUGCAUAUCCUCUUGGCCUUCAUGUCUGCAUUUCCCUGGAGGAGGGAAACAAGCCUGCCUUCUCCCUUCCAGACUCCAAGAAAUGGUUGUACCUGGUCUGCAAAAGAGAUGCCACCAACUCCUUUGUCAAUGAAUGCUUUUCUAGACUAUUUUCUGGUACCUUUUUGGAAUAA
Long non-coding RNA from Odocoileus virginianus texanus, 302 nucleotides. RefSeq lists it as uncharacterized. Lineage: Eukaryota; Metazoa; Chordata; Mammalia; Artiodactyla; Cervidae. The record is from RefSeq and is a predicted model, not a curated record.